RNAcentral lists this ribosomal RNA (253 nucleotides) under uncultured bacterium. RNAcentral describes it as "partial 16S ribosomal RNA". It matches the Rfam family "Bacterial small subunit ribosomal RNA", at positions 524 to 776 of the family's 1533-position model. The record is from RNAcentral.
UACAGAGGUCUCGAGCGUUGUUCGGAUUCACUGGGCUUAAAGGGUGCGUAGGUGGGCAGGUAAGUCCGUGGUGAAAUCCCCGAGCUUAACUUGGGAACUGCCGUUGAUACUAUCUGUCUUGAAUAUCGUGGAGGUUAGCGGAAUAUGUCAUGUAGCGGUGAAAUGCAUAGAGAUGACAUAGAACACCAAUUGCGAAGGCAGCUGGCUGGACGGUAAUUGACACUGAGGCACGAAAGCGUGGGGAGCAAACAGG